Molecule: small RNA, 385 nt
Filed under: Tolumonas auensis DSM 9187
Lineage: Bacteria; Pseudomonadati; Pseudomonadota; Gammaproteobacteria; Aeromonadales; Aeromonadaceae
Description: cspA thermoregulator
Rfam family: cspA thermoregulator
Source: Rfam by way of RNAcentral
AACUGAUUGAGCGACAGAGCUUAAGCGAUACUCAGUGCCUUCUUAUAGAAGUUCUUUGUUAUCACUUCAAGCAAACCUCUUUCAGCGUUAAUGGCCGAGAGGCUCAAGUAUUUUGUGUUAGGAAAUGUGUUAUGUCCGUACGUACUGGCAAAGUAAAAUGGUUCAACGAAGCUAAAGGUUUUGGUUUUAUUCAGCAGGAUGAAGGUCCGGAUGUGUUUGUUCACUUCCGUGCUAUCAACUCUACCGGUUUCAAAACCCUGGCUGAAGGCCAACGUGUUCAGUUCACUGUGACUCAAGGCCAGAAAGGCCCACAGGCUGAAAACGUAACUGUACUGUAAUUUAUACAGUAGCAGAUAAAAAAAGCGCCUUAGGCGCUUUUUUUUUA